UUAACUAUUAUAUAGUACUCAGACGAUAUUUAAACUCAGAGUUUGGGGUUCUCUGGCAAGCACUCACCAGCGUAAGCCGGUGGCCGAGGCGGCUCGCCAAAGCAACAAAGGUAUAAUAACAUAGGGUUGGAGAGUCACCCGUAAGGGCGAUGUUCUCUGUAAUGAUCCUUCCGCAGGUUCACCUACGGAAA
This 191-nucleotide unclassified non-coding RNA is filed under the name uncultured fungus. RNAcentral describes it as "sequence contains ITS1". Lineage: Eukaryota; Fungi. The record is from RNAcentral.